This 432-nucleotide ribosomal RNA is filed under the name uncultured bacterium. RNAcentral describes it as "partial 16S ribosomal RNA". It matches the Rfam family "Bacterial small subunit ribosomal RNA", at positions 338 to 795 of the family's 1533-position model. The record is from RNAcentral.
CCUACGGGAGGCAGCAGUAGGGAAUCUUCCGCAAUGGACGCAAGUCUGACGGAGCAACGCCGCGUGAGUGAAGAAGGUUUUCGGAUCGUAAAACUCUGUUGUUAGAGAAGCGGUAUCUAACCAGAAAGCCACGGCUAACUACGUGCCAGCAGCCGCGGUAAUACGUAGGUGGCAAGCGUUGUCCGGAUUUAUUGGGCGUAAAGCGAGCGCAGGCGGUUCCUUAAGUCUGAUGUGAAAGCCCCCGGCUCAACCGGGGAGGGUCAUUGGAAACUGGGGAACUUGAGUGCAGAAGAGGAGAGUGGAAUUCCAUGUGUAGCGGUGAAAUGCGUAGAUAUAUGGAGGAACACCAGUGGCGAAGGCGACUCUCUGGUCUGUACUGACGCUGAGGCUCGAAAGCGUGGGUAGCAAACAGGAUUAGAUACCCUUGUAGUC